UACGUAGGGUGCAAGCGUUACUCGGAAUUACUGGGCGUAAAGCGUGCGCAGGCGGUUCUGUAAGGCAGGCGUGAAAUCCCCGGGCUUAACCUGGGAACUGCAUUUGUGACUGCAUAGCUAGAGUACGGUAGAGGGGGAUGGAAUUCCGCGUGUAGCAGUGAAAUGCGUAGAUAUGCGGAGGAACACCGAUGGCGAAGGCAAUCCCCUGGACCGGUACUGACGCUCAUGCACGAAAGCGUGGGGAGCAAACAGG
RNAcentral lists this ribosomal RNA (253 nucleotides) under uncultured bacterium. RNAcentral describes it as "partial 16S ribosomal RNA". It matches the Rfam family "Bacterial small subunit ribosomal RNA", at positions 524 to 776 of the family's 1533-position model. The record is from RNAcentral.